This 3091-nucleotide ribosomal RNA is filed under the name Salmonella enterica subsp. enterica serovar Typhimurium. RNAcentral describes it as "23S ribosomal RNA". It matches the Rfam family "Bacterial large subunit ribosomal RNA". The record is from RNAcentral. Lineage: Bacteria; Pseudomonadati; Pseudomonadota; Gammaproteobacteria; Enterobacterales; Enterobacteriaceae.
GGUUAAGCGACUAAGCGUACACGGUGGAUGCCCUGGCAGUCAGAGGCGAUGAAGGGCGUGCUAAUCUGCGAUAAGCGCCGGUAAGGUGAUAUGAACCGUUAUAACCGGCGAUACCCGAAUGGGGAAACCCAGUGUGAUUCGUCACACUAUCAUUAACUGAAUCCAUAGGUUAAUGAGGCGAACCGGGGGAACUGAAACAUCUAAGUACCCCGAGGAAAAGAAAUCAACCGAGAUUCCCCCAGUAGCGGCGAGCGAACGGGGAGGAGCCCAGAGCCUGAAUCAGCAUGUGUGUUAGUGGAAGCGUCUGGAAAGGCGCGCGAUACAGGGUGACAGCCCCGUACACAAAAGCGCAUGUGCUGUGAGCUCGAUGAGUAGGGCGGGACACGUGGUAUCCUGUCUGAAUAUGGGGGGACCAUCCUCCAAGGCUAAAUACUCCUGACUGACCGAUAGUGAACCAGUACCGUGAGGGAAAGGCGAAAAGAACCCCGGCGAGGGGAGUGAAAAAGAACCUGAAACCGUGUACGUACAAGCAGUGGGAGCCCCACCACCAAAGCAUUCUCUGGUGUUGAAGGCCCUGCAAAGCAGCAUCGCGGUGGCGGAGCGUCGUUUGCGACGCCCAACACACAAAACAAGCGGUGAAUGCUUUGGGGUGGGGUGACUGCGUACCUUUUGUAUAAUGGGUCAGCGACUUAUAUUCUGUAGCAAGGUUAACCGAAUAGGGGAGCCGGAGGGAAACCGAGUCUUAAUUGGGCGUUAAGUUGCAGGGUAUAGACCCGAAACCCGGUGAUCUAGCCAUGGGCAGGUUGAAGGUUGGGUAACACUAACUGGAGGACCGAACCGACUAAUGUUGAAAAAUUAGCGGAUGACCUGUGGCUGGGGGUGAAAGGCCAAUCAAACCGGGAGAUAGCUGGUUCUCCCCGAAAGCUAUUUAGGUAGCGCCUCGUGAAUUCAUCUCCGGGGGUAGAGCACUGUUUCGGCUAGGGGGCCAUCCCGGCUUACCAACCCGAUGCAAACUGCGAAUACCGGAGAAUGUUAUCACGGGAGACACACGGCGGGUGCUAACGUCCGUCGUGAAGAGGGAAACAACCCAGACCGCCAGCUAAGGUCCCAAAGUCAUGGUUAAGUGGGAAACGAUGUGGGAAGGCCCAGACAGCCAGGAUGUUGGCUUAGAAGCAGCCAUCAUUUAAAGAAAGCGUAAUAGCUCACUGGUCGAGUCGGCCUGCGCGGAAGAUGUAACGGGGCUAAACCAUGCACCGAAGCUGCGGCAGCGAACGUAUCACCCAAGACAACUUUACGGAGUUGACGAUUGACGGAGCGAAGCGACGUCAAAGCGUUCAUUAAAGUCGAGUUGGCUUAGGGAUACGUUCGUUGGGUAGGGGAGCGUUCUGUAAGCCUGUGAAGGUGUGUCGUGAGGCAUGCUGGAGGUAUCAGAAGUGCGAAUGCUGACAUAAGUAACGAUAAAGCGGGUGAAAAGCCCGCUCGCCGGAAGACCAAGGGUUCCUGUCCAACGUUAAUCGGGGCAGGGUGAGUCGACCCCUAAGGCGAGGCCGAAAGGCGUAGUCGAUGGGAAACGGGUUAAUAUUCCCGUACUUGGUGUUACUGCGAAGGGGGGACGGAGAAGGCUAUGUUGGCCGGGCGACGGUUGUCCCGGUUUAAGCGUGUAGGUGUGUGUUCCAGGUAAAUCCGGUUCACUUUAACACUGAGGCGUGACGACGAGGCACUACGGUGCUGAAGCAACAAAUGCCCUGCUUCCAGGAAAAGCCUCUAAGCAUCAGGUAACAUCAAAUCGUACCCCAAACCGACACAGGUGGUCAGGUAGAGAAUACCAAGGCGCUUGAGAGAACUCGGGUGAAGGAACUAGGCAAAAUGGUGCCGUAACUUCGGGAGAAGGCACGCUGACACGUAGGUGAAGUGAUUUACUCAUGGAGCUGAAGUCAGUCGAAGAUACCAGCUGGCUGCAACUGUUUAUUAAAAACACAGCACUGUGCAAACACGAAAGUGGACGUAUACGGUGUGACGCCUGCCCGGUGCCGGAAGGUUAAUUGAUGGGGUCAGCGCAAGCGAAGCUCCUGAUCGAAGCCCCGGUAAACGGCGGCCGUAACUAUAACGGUCCUAAGGUAGCGAAAUUCCUUGUCGGGUAAGUUCCGACCUGCACGAAUGGCGUAAUGAUGGCCAGGCUGUCUCCACCCGAGACUCAGUGAAAUUGAACUCGCUGUGAAGAUGCAGUGUACCCGCGGCAAGACGGAAAGACCCCGUGAACCUUUACUAUAGCUUGACACUGAACAUUGAGCCUUGAUGUGUAGGAUAGGUGGGAGGCUUUGAAGUGUGGACGCCAGUCUGCAUGGAGCCGACCUUGAAAUACCACCCUUUAAUGUUUGAUGUUCUAACGUGGACCCGUAAUCCGGGUUGCGGACAGUGUCUGGUGGGUAGUUUGACUGGGGCGGUCUCCUCCUAAAGAGUAACGGAGGAGCACGAAGGUUGGCUAAUCCUGGUCGGACAUCAGGAGGUUAGUGCAAUGGCAUAAGCCAGCUUGACUGCGAGCGUGACGGCGCGAGCAGGUGCGAAAGCAGGUCAUAGUGAUCCGGUGGUUCUGAAUGGAAGGGCCAUCGCUCAACGGAUAAAAGGUACUCCGGGGAUAACAGGCUGAUACCGCCCAAGAGUUCAUAUCGACGGCGGUGUUUGGCACCUCGAUGUCGGCUCAUCACAUCCUGGGGCUGAAGUAGGUCCCAAGGGUAUGGCUGUUCGCCAUUUAAAGUGGUACGCGAGCUGGGUUUAGAACGUCGUGAGACAGUUCGGUCCCUAUCUGCCGUGGGCGCUGGAGAACUGAGGGGGGCUGCUCCUAGUACGAGAGGACCGGAGUGGACGCAUCACUGGUGUUCGGGUUGUCAUGCCAAUGGCACUGCCCGGUAGCUAAAUGCGGAAGAGAUAAGUGCUGAAAGCAUCUAAGCACGAAACUUGCCCCGAGAUGAGUUCUCCCUGAGACUUAGGUCUCCUGAAGGAACGUUGAAGACGACGACGUUGAUAGGCCGGGUGUGUAAGCGCAGCGAUGCGUUGAGCUAACCGGUACUAAUGAACCGUGAGGCUUAACCUU